Molecule: ribosomal RNA, 468 nt
Filed under: uncultured bacterium
Lineage: Bacteria
Description: partial 16S ribosomal RNA
Rfam family: Bacterial small subunit ribosomal RNA
Source: RNAcentral
GACGAACGCUGGCGGCGUGCUUAACACAUGCAAGUCGAACGGAAAGGCCCUGCUUUUGUGGGGUGCUCGAGUGGCGAACGGGUGAGUAACACGUGAGUAACCUGCCCUUGACUUUGGGAUAACUUCAGGAAACUGGGGCUAAUACCGGAUAGGAGCUCCUGCUGCAUGGUGGGGGUUGGAAAGUUUCGGCGGUUGGGGAUGGACUCUCGGGUUAUCAGCUUGUUGGUGGGGUAGUGGCUUACCAAGGCUUUGACGGGUAGCCGGCCUGAGAGGGGGACCGGCCACAUUGGGACUGAGAUACGGCCCAGACGCCAACGGGAGGCAGCAGUGGGGAAUAUUGCACAACGGGCGGAAGCCUGAUGCAGCAACGCCGCGUGCGGGAUGACGGCCUUCGGGUGGUAAACCGCUGUCGCCUGUGACGAAGAGUGAGUGACGGUAAUGGGUAAAGAAGCACCGGCUAACUACGUG